AACGAACGCUGGCGGCAUGCCUAACACAUGCAAGUCGAACGAGACCUUCGGGUCUAGUGGCGCACGGGUGCGUAACGCGUGGGAAUCUGCCCUUGGGUUCGGAAUAACUCAGAGAAAUUUGAGCUAAUACCGGAUGAUGACGUAAGUCCAAAGAUUUAUCGCCCAAGGAUGAGCCCGCGUAAGAUUAGGUAGUUGGUGGGGUAAAAGCCUACCAAGCCGACGAUCUUUAGCUGGUCUGAGAGGAUGAUCAGCCACACUGGGACUGAGACACGGCCCAGACUCCUACGGGAGGCAGCAGUGGGGAAUAUUGGACAAUGGGCGAAAGCCUGAUCCAGCAAUGCCGCGGGAGUGAUGAAGGCCUAGGGUUGUAAAGCUCUUUUACCCGGGAUGAUAAUGACAGUACCGGGGGAAUAAGCCCCGGCUAACUCCGUGCCAGCAGCCGCGGUAA
RNAcentral lists this ribosomal RNA (448 nucleotides) under uncultured bacterium. RNAcentral's name for it is "partial 16S ribosomal RNA". It matches the Rfam family "Bacterial small subunit ribosomal RNA", at positions 29 to 523 of the family's 1533-position model. The record is from RNAcentral.